UAGGGAAUCUUCGGCAAUGGACGAAAGUCUGACCGAGCAACGCCGCGUGAGUGAAGAAGGUUUUCGGAUCGUAAAACUCUGUUGUUAGAGAAGAACAAGGACGUUAGUAACUGAACGUCCCCUGACGGUAUCUAACUAGAAAGCCACGGCUAACUACGUGCCAGCAGCCGCGGUAAUACGUAGGUGGCAAGCGUUGUCCGGAUUUAUUGGGCGUAAAGCGAGAGCAGGCGGUUUCUUAAGUCUGAUGUGAAAGCCCCCGGCUCAACCGGGGAGGGUCAUUGGAAACUGGGAGACUUGAGUGCAGAAGAGGAGAGUGGAAUUCCAUGUGUAGCGGUGAAAUGCGUAGACAUAUAGAGGAACACCAGUGGCGAAGGCGGCUCUCUGGUCUGUAACUGACGCUGAGGCUCGAAAGCGUGGGGAGCAAACAGG
This 429-nucleotide ribosomal RNA is filed under the name Gemmatimonadota bacterium. RNAcentral describes it as "Gemmatimonadetes bacterium partial 16S ribosomal RNA". It matches the Rfam family "Bacterial small subunit ribosomal RNA", at positions 355 to 776 of the family's 1533-position model. The record is from RNAcentral. Lineage: Bacteria; Pseudomonadati; Gemmatimonadota.